Molecule: ribosomal RNA, 253 nt
Filed under: uncultured bacterium
Lineage: Bacteria
Description: partial 16S ribosomal RNA
Rfam family: Bacterial small subunit ribosomal RNA
Source: RNAcentral
GACAGAGGGGGCAAGCGUUGCUCGGAAUCACUAGGCGUAAAGGGCGCGUAGGCGGGAUGGCAAGUCAGUCGUGAAAUCUCUCGGCUCAACCGAGAAACGUCGGCUGAUACUGCCGUUCUUGAGGGAUGCAGAGGAGACUGGAAUUCCCGGUGUAGCGGUGAAAUGUGUAGAGAUCGGGAGGAACACCGGUGGCGAAGGCGGGUCUCUGGGCAUUUCCUGACGCUGAGGCGCGAAAGCGUGGGGAGCAAACGGG